This 275-nucleotide unclassified non-coding RNA is filed under the name Hevea brasiliensis (rubber tree). Lineage: Eukaryota; Viridiplantae; Streptophyta; Magnoliopsida; Malpighiales; Euphorbiaceae. The record is from RNAcentral.
UUUUUUUCCAGAGAAAAAAAAUGUAGAUAAAUGAAAACUACUGUACUCUUAACAGCAUUGCAGCUAUUAUGUGAUAGCUAACUAGCUAUAAUGAUCCAUUACACAAUAUGACAAAGAACUUGCAAUAUGACUAGAAAAAACAAGCAAAUCACAUUCCACAAAGAUGAUGAAAACAUGGAGAAGCUACAAAAGUUCUGACAGUGUACGUUAUGGACAAUUUCCUUGUUACCAAGAAAAAAAAAAUGCACUAACAAAUUUACAAAGACAUGAGAAUG